GACGAACGCUGGCGGCGUGCCUAAUACAUGCAAGUAGAACGCACAGUUUAUACCGUAGCUUGCUACACCAUAAACUGUGAGUUGCGAACGGGUGAGUAACGCGUAGGUAACCUGUCUGGUAGCGGGGGAUAACUAUUGGUAACGAUAGCUAAUACCGCAUAAUAUUGAUUAUUGCAUGAUAAUUGAUUGAAAGAUGCUAUUGCAUCACUACCAGAUGGACCUGCGUUGUAUUAGCUAGUAGGUGAGGUAACGGCUCACCUAGGCGACGAUACAUAGCCGACCUGAGAGGGUGAUCGGCCACACUGGGACUGAGACACGGCCCAGACUCCUACGGGAGGCAGCAGUAGGGAAACUUCGGCAAUGGGCGGAAGUCUGACCGAGCAACGCCGCGUGAGUGAAGAAGGUUUUCGGAUCGUAAAGCUCUGUUGUAAGGGAAGAACGGGUGUGAGAGUGGAAAGUUCACACUGUGACGGUAUCUUACCAGAAAGGGACGGCUAACUACGUG
This 505-nucleotide ribosomal RNA is filed under the name uncultured bacterium. RNAcentral's name for it is "partial 16S ribosomal RNA". It matches the Rfam family "Bacterial small subunit ribosomal RNA", at positions 28 to 507 of the family's 1533-position model. The record is from RNAcentral.